This 1064-nucleotide ribosomal RNA is filed under the name uncultured Bacteroidales bacterium. Its description in RNAcentral is "bacterial SSU rRNA". It matches the Rfam family "Bacterial small subunit ribosomal RNA", at positions 32 to 1087 of the family's 1533-position model. The record is from RNAcentral. Lineage: Bacteria; Pseudomonadati; Bacteroidota; Bacteroidia; Bacteroidales.
AACGCUAGCUACAGGCUUAACACAUGCAAGUCGAGGGGCAGCAUGGAACUUAGCUUGCUAAGUUUCGAUGGCGACCGGCGCACGGGUGAGUAACACGUAUCCAACCUACCGUUUACUACGGGAUAGCCUUCUGAAAAGGAGAUUAAUACCGUAUGGCAUUCUAAAGUUUCAUGACAUUAGAAUUAAAGGUUUACCGGUAAUCGAUGGGGAUGCGUUCCAUUAGAUAGUAGGCGGGGUAACGGCCCACCUAGUCAGCGAUGGAUAGGGGUUCUGAGAGGAAGGUCCCCCACAUUGGAACUGAGACACGGUCCAAACUCCUACGGGAGGCAGCAGUGAGGAAUAUUGGUCAAUGGACGAGAGUCUGAACCAGCCAAGUAGCGUGAAGGAUGACUGCCCUAUGGGUUGUAAACUUCUUUUAUAAAGGAAUAAAGUGGUCCACGUGUGGAUUUUUGUAUGUACUUUAUGAAUAAGGAUCGGCUAACUCCGUGCCAGCAGCCGCGGUAAUACGGAGGAUCCAAGCGUUAUCCGGAUUUAUUGGGUUUAAAGGGAGCGCAGAUGGAUUUUUAAGUCAGUUGUGAAAGUUCGGGGCUCAACCCCGUAAUUGCAGUUGAUACUGGAUAUCUUGAGUACAGUUGAGGUAGGCGGAAUUCGUGGUGUAGCGGUGAAAUGCUUAGAUAUCACGAAGAACUCCGAUUGCGAAGGCAGCUUACUAAGCUGUAACUGACAUUGAGGCUCGAAAGUGUGGGUAUCAAACAGGAUUAGAUACCCUGGUAGUCCACACGGUAAACUAUGGAUACUCGCUGUAGGCGAUACACAGUCUGCGGCCAAGCGAAAGCAUUAAGUAUCCCACCUGGGGAGUACGCCGGCAACGGUGAAACUCAAAGGAAUUGACGGGGGCCCGCACAAGCGGAGGAACAUGUGGUUUAAUUCGAUGAUACGCGAGGAACCUUACCCGGGCUUAAAUUGCAACUGAAUAGCUGAGAGAUCAGUUAGCUAGCAAUAGCAGUUGUGAAGGUGCUGCAUGGUUGUCGUCAGCUCGUGCCGUGAGGUGUCGGCUUAAGUGC